Molecule: ribosomal RNA, 1352 nt
Filed under: uncultured bacterium
Lineage: Bacteria
Description: bacterial SSU rRNA
Rfam family: Bacterial small subunit ribosomal RNA
Source: RNAcentral
AUUGAACGCUGGCGGCAUGCCUUACACAUGCAAGUCGAACGGCAGCACGGAGCUUGCUCUGGUGGCGAGUGGCGAACGGGUGAGUAAUAUAUCGGAACGUACCCUAGAGUGGGGGAUAACGUAGCGAAAGUUACGCUAAUACCGCAUACGAUCUAAGGAUGAAAGUGGGGGAUCGCAAGACCUCAUGCUCGUGGAGCGGCCGAUAUCUGAUUAGCUAGUUGGUAGGGUAAAAGCCUACCAAGGCAUCGAUCAGUAGCUGGUCUGAGAGGACGACCAGCCACACUGGAACUGAGACACGGUCCAGACUCCUACGGGAGGCAGCAGUGGGGAAUUUUGGACAAUGGGCGAAAGCCUGAUCCAGCAAUGCCGCGUGAGUGAAGAAGGCCUUCGGGUUGUAAAGCUCUUUUGUCAGGGAAGAAACGGUGGGAGCUAAUAUCUCUUGCUAAUGACGGUACCUGAAGAAUAAGCACCGGCUAACUACGUGCCAGCAGCCGCGGUAAUACGUAGGGUGCAAGCGUUAAUCGGAAUUACUGGGCGUAAAGCGUGCGCAGGCGGUUUUGUAAGUCUGAUGUGAAAUCCCCGGGCUCAACCUGGGAAUUGCAUUGGAGACUGCAAGGCUAGAAUCUGGCAGAGGGGGGUAGAAUUCCACGUGUAGCAGUGAAAUGCGUAGAUAUGUGGAGGAACACCGAUGGCGAAGGCAGCCCCCUGGGUCAAGAUUGACGCUCAUGCACGAAAGCGUGGGGAGCAAACAGGAUUAGAUACCCUGGUAGUCCACGCCCUAAACGAUGUCUACUAGUUGUCGGGUCUUAAUUGACUUGGUAACGCAGCUAACGCGUGAAGUAGACCGCCUGGGGAGUACGGUCGCAAGAUUAAAACUCAAAGGAAUUGACGGGGACCCGCACAAGCGGUGGAUGAUGUGGAUUAAUUCGAUGCAACGCGAAAAACCUUACCUACCCUUGACAUGGCUGGAAUCCUUGAGAGAUCAGGGAGUGCUCGAAAGAGAACCAGUACACAGGUGCUGCAUGGCUGUCGUCAGCUCGUGUCGUGAGAUGUUGGGUUAAGUCCCGCAACGAGCGCAACCCUUGUCAUCAGUUGCUACGAAAGGGCACUCUAAUGAGACUGCCGGUGACAAACCGGAGGAAGGUGGGGAUGACGUCAAGUCCUCAUGGCCCUUAUGGGUAGGGCUUCACACGUCAUACAAUGGUACAUACAGAGCGCCGCCAACCCGCGAGGGGGAGCUAAUCGCAGAAAGUGUAUCGUAGUCCGGAUUGUAGUCUGCAACUCGACUGCAUGAAGUUGGAAUCGCUAGUAAUCGCGGAUCAGCAUGUCGCGGUGAAUACGUUCCCGGGUCU